RNAcentral lists this long non-coding RNA (350 nucleotides) under Actinidia chinensis (golden kiwifruit). RNAcentral's name for it is "long non-coding RNA (ACHI_LNC003664)". Lineage: Eukaryota; Viridiplantae; Streptophyta; Magnoliopsida; Ericales; Actinidiaceae. The record is from RNAcentral.
ACCAUGCUAGAUGCUUUCUUAAGCUUGAGGAUACACUAAAACAACAAACAAUACUAUCAAAAGGGAAAGAGCAAACCCCAAGGGGGGUCGCUGAUGGCAAAGGGAAGGAUUUGCAGGAGGCUGUAUUCCCACGCAGUGAGGCUGGGUUCGACUCUUUCCAUCAGCUGAAGAUCUCUCUAUUUACAUCUGGGUGGAGGCUUGUGGGGAACCCACUCAGCCCGGUUUGGGCUACUAUCCUCUGGGGUUGCAACUGGGGGGUGUGGCUGUUCCGAGUCAUCAAAAAAAAAAAAGAAGGGAAAGAGCAAUGUUGUAUAAAUAAAAAUUUCAUACACGACAUUUAAAUAGAAUGA